Drosophila miranda is the source of this 269-nucleotide long non-coding RNA. RefSeq lists it as uncharacterized. NCBI's taxonomy places the organism in Eukaryota, Metazoa, Arthropoda, Insecta, Diptera, Drosophilidae. The record is from RefSeq and is a predicted model, not a curated record. The transcript has 2 exons.
GUUCAGCAAUUCUUCUGCAGCUACUAUCAUCAUGUUUCUUCGUGUGCUUCUGGUUUGUGUGGCCCUCUUUGCAAUUGUGUGUGCAAAGCCUGGGGUUCUAAGUGACGACCUCAUUGAGGCUUCUCAGCCUGGCAGUGUUCGUCCAAUUGUUGUCCCGGAGCCGUCAACAGACCAAAAGCAUCGCACCUUUGUAUUUUUACUGCCACUGCUGUUCCCCAAUCAAUUCUACUCAUAAAUAUGCAAAUAAAGUCAACUGAAUGAGCUUAUAA